AUGCGGCAUGUGGUUAACUUCUACUCUACCCUCCUUUCUGCUAAACCAGACUUGGGGUUUAGGUUGGUGCCGUCCUUCUGGUCGUCCCUCGAACAGGUCUUGAGCGAUGAAAAUGAAAGUCUGUUGAUUCACCCGUCUGAAAAAGAGAUUUUCGAUGCGAUUCGAUUUGCCAAUCCCAAUGCGGCCUUUGGGCCCGAUGGUUUUUCCAUCCCCUUCUUUAGACAAUUCUGGCCUCAGUUAAAAGGCCUCAUCUUGGCUAUUAUUCAAGGUUUUUGGCUGGGAACCGUUGACAUUUCUAGACUGAAUUACGCGGUGCUUACUCUCAUCCCUAAGAUCAAAGGAGCUGACUUGAUCUCCCAAUUUAGGCCCAUUGCUCUAAUCAAUAACUUCGCGAAGAUUCCGGCUAAGGGUUUGGCCACUAGGGUUUCUCUGAUCGCUCAUCGUGUCAUUAGCCCUUCCCAGUCCGCUUUUAUAAAGGGGAGAUUCAUACUGGACGGGGUUCUUUGCUUGCAUGAGAUUGUUCAUGACUUGCGGACCAAGGGCACUCGGGUUGUAGUUCUUAAACUUGACUUUGAAAAGGCCUACGAUUCGGUGAGCUGGAAUUUCCUUCGUCAGGUUCUU
RNAcentral lists this ribosomal RNA (621 nucleotides) under Triticum aestivum (bread wheat). RNAcentral describes it as "partial small subunit ribosomal RNA". Lineage: Eukaryota; Viridiplantae; Streptophyta; Magnoliopsida; Poales; Poaceae. The record is from RNAcentral.